AACAGAUACAUGGAUAGCAGCGGGCUGAGCGGCAGGAUUCCUUCAACGUUUGCUAACUUGAGAAACAUGAAGAUCUUAUAUACUCAGAUGCUUGACGGCCAUAAAAACCAUGGUGAAGUUGGAUAAACCACUGAUAGAACCAGGUGGUGGGUCUUGCCUCUGCGGCAAUGCAAUGGUGUAGGUGAUGGGUGGGUGUUGCAUUGUCAAUGGUGGAUGGGGUCUGGCCUUGGUGAAGUUGUUAUUAUUAUUAUUUUAAUUUAAUGCGUUCUUGUAAGUGAUUUAACCCAUGAUAUGAAGUGGGUUGAUGGGCAUGCAUUACGCCACAUGAACGGCCGUGGAAUGGAAUAAUGUCAUUUCUCAGUAGCUGUCCAAUAUAAGGACCCGGCUAGCCUUUUUAUUUCUUGGGCCUGAUCCAGUGCUCAGAUCGAGAUUGGCGCACUCACAGAACUGAUGAAAUGCAUUUGAUAUCAUGCCAUUUCAGAGUGCAUCUUACAGUGUUC
Magnolia sinica is the source of this 500-nucleotide long non-coding RNA. RefSeq lists it as uncharacterized. The transcript is spliced from 2 exons. The record is from RefSeq and is a predicted model, not a curated record. NCBI's taxonomy places the organism in Eukaryota, Viridiplantae, Streptophyta, Magnoliopsida, Magnoliales, Magnoliaceae.